RNAcentral lists this ribosomal RNA (331 nucleotides) under uncultured bacterium. RNAcentral's name for it is "bacterial SSU rRNA". It matches the Rfam family "Bacterial small subunit ribosomal RNA", at positions 568 to 898 of the family's 1533-position model. The record is from RNAcentral.
UGCGUAGACGGUAAUGUAAGUCAGAUGUGAAAGCCCCGGGCUCAACCUGGGAAUUGCAUUUGAGACUGCAUUGCUUGGGUGCGGAAGAGGGAAGCGGAAUUUCCGGUGUAGCGGUGAAAUGCGUAGAUAUCGGAAGGAACACCAGUGGCGAAAGCGGCUUCCUGGUCCGACACCGACGUUCAGGCACGAAAGCGUGGGGAGCAAACAGGAUUAGAUACCCUGGUAGUCCACGCCAUAAACGAUGAGAACUAGACGUUGAGAGGGUAAGCCUCCCAGUGUCGUAGCUAACGCGCUAAGUUCUCCGCCUGGGGAGUACGGCCGCAAGGUUGAA